Molecule: ribosomal RNA, 466 nt
Filed under: uncultured bacterium
Lineage: Bacteria
Description: partial 16S ribosomal RNA
Rfam family: Bacterial small subunit ribosomal RNA
Source: RNAcentral
GAUGAACGCUGGCGGCGUGCUUAACACAUGCAAGUCGAACGAAGAAGCCCAGCUUGCUGGGUGCUUUAGUGGCCAACGGGUGAGUAACUCGUGAGUAACCUGCCCUUAUAUCUGGGAUAGGCCUCUUAAACUGGGCCUAAUUCCGGACAGGAGCGUUCUCCACAUGGAGGGUGUUGGAGAGAUUUACCGGUUUUGGAUGGACUCGCGGCCUAUCAGCUUGUCGGUGAGGUAUUGGCUCACUAAGGCGUCGACGGGUAGCCGGCCUGGGAAGGUGACCGGCCACACUGGGACUGAGACACGGCCCAGACUCGUACGGGAGGCAGCAGUGGGGAAUAUUGCACAAUGGGCGCAAGCCUGAUGCAGCGACGCCGCGUGCGGGAUGACGGCCUUCGGGUUGUAAACCUCUUUCAGUAGGGAAGAAGCGAAAGUGACGGUACCUGCAGAAGAAGCACCGGCUAACUACGUG